Ostrinia furnacalis (Asian corn borer) is the source of this 550-nucleotide long non-coding RNA. RefSeq lists it as uncharacterized. Lineage: Eukaryota; Metazoa; Arthropoda; Insecta; Lepidoptera; Crambidae. The record is from RefSeq and is a predicted model, not a curated record. The transcript is spliced from 2 exons.
ACCCUAGUUUAGUGCUAAAAUCAGAUCAAAGUGAAUGGAGCCUAUCGUUUCCACUCGGCUGUGUACUGCGGAGCCAAUUCUGGACCAGUCGCGUGGUGGCUUACGACACCACUUUAUACGUGGUCAGCAUCAAGUAUGAAGACUUUGGAUGCUAUGUGGCCCUGUCGGUACUAUCAACAGACCCCGCCCCCAAAACGGGAUACCUAACAGUCUACAACAAACUCACAGGGGAACCUCACACCUGGACGGGGGAGAUUCACCCUCUUUCCCCAAACCUCCCCUACUAUACCGAAGCUAGCUGCCUAAAACUGGAUAUAGCCAGAUUGGACCUGAUCCCAAGCAGUGCGAACCUGAAACUGGUGAAUCGGGAGUUGGUGGUAGCGUCUCCAAACAAAGUGAUCGUCGGUAGGCCUGACUUGGACGAAAUAUACCUGACGGUUUUUGUGAAAAUUCUGAACAUUGUGUAGUGAUAUGUGAAGAUUCUUCGUGGUUUUGUAAGUAACUUUAUUUUUUUAAAUACCAACAUGGUAUUGUGUAAUUAGAAUUACUA